Long non-coding RNA from Mercenaria mercenaria, 2004 nucleotides. RefSeq lists it as uncharacterized. The transcript has 3 exons. NCBI's taxonomy places the organism in Eukaryota, Metazoa, Mollusca, Bivalvia, Venerida, Veneridae. The record is from RefSeq and is a predicted model, not a curated record.
AAUAACCCCGGAUACCUCUUUCUACGAGAGUUUCUUGAAGGGAUCAGCUAUUAACUGUAUUCUCAAAUAAGUAAGCUGGAGUUAUCGUUCUUCAUUUAAACGAAAAUGGACCCAGCUAACAAAAUAUGAAGACAUGAAAUUACGUAUAUGAAUAAGCAUAAAGCGCAAUACAGAAAUCGUUGCUCUCUUGACAUUACACAAGUACUUAAUGACAUUACAGUGUAUGCAUGUAAUAACUGUAAUAAAAACAGUUGAUUAACAAUGAGAGAACGUAUUUGCUAACAUUUAACUAGUCUCCAAUAGCCCAAAUCAAGUAAAUGACUACCAGUUCUCUUUUGGCACUUGGCGUUAGAAAAAAUACUUUGAAAAAUUAUCAUGAAGCUAUACAUAAGAUACUAAGGAUUUUGGCAUUUAAAGCAUUAAUUGGUUUACUUAUAUCCAUAUAUAAGUGAUCUAAAUUGCAACAUGUAGCAUGCGUUUGUCAUCAACAAUAAAGCACUUUACCAAAUGCAGUAAUAGUUGUCAUUAAUCAUAAAGCGUUUGAUCAAAUACAAUAAUAGAAUUUUUGCAUAAAUAAUCUUCCAUACAUCAUGGCCCUCUUGUUUGUAUAGUCAGGGAUUUAUUUACAUUGGCUACUUGGUGGUGUUUGUGGUGGCGUUUCUGUGUGUAUGGUGGUCUUUGCGAUGGUGUUUUUGUGUUUGUAGUGGUGUUUCUGUGUUUAUGGUGGUGUUGUUUUGGUUUUUUCAAUGCGGUUGUUUCUGUUGUAUUUGAGAUCGUUUGUGUUGUUUUAUUGAAAAAGGUUCUUUGUGGUGCGAAUUGUUUGUUAUAUCGGGUUUUUCUUUUGUCUGUUUCAGAAAGUUGAAAUUCAAGGUGUUUUGUUUAUGGCCUUAGCGACAUAUAUUUACUAGAUUUAUUCCUGUACAAAUAUUUUAGAAUAAGUUUGAUAUUGCAAUGUAUUAUAAUGAUUACUUCUCCCAUCUUUCAGAGAGCUUGAACGCCAUAUCAUAAAAUAUGCAGACGAACAGACAUCAAGCGCAGACGACAUCUUGGGUUGGGUAAAACGCGCGCAAUUGUUCUUUUUUAUUUCUUUAUUCUUUCUAUUUAGUUAAGUUGCAUUUUUCUCUCUUUUUUUCGAGGAUAUUGAGGCACUUGAAGAAUAAAGACGCAAGCGGCUUUGAAGAUACAGACUUAAGAAAAUAUGAUUUUUGUUUAUCAUGAACAGAGCAUUUGAAUGUGCACACAGACCUUGACUCCGAAGAAAGAAAUACUCAAAUUGUCCGACGAGAGACCCGAACUCUCCGACGAUAGCCGGAACUGUCCGUCGAGGAACACGAACCGUCCGACAAGAAGCGGAUUCCUGGAUCACACACGAAGAAAAUGUUAGUUGAUGGAACUCGAGAGAAUGCAGGACUGUCUUGCUGGUACCCUGACGAUGCUGACCACCAGAGAUGUGGUGUUACCCAAACGGUGGCAGUUGCCAGAAGCUAGGGUUGUUGUACACAACUGAUGCCUGCCGCCAGAUGUGCGCUGGUACCCGGUCGAUGCCGGUCAUCAGAGGUGUGCUGGGACUCAGUCAUACCGGCACUUAUGUUGACAUGACGAUCAAUUUUUUUCAAAGGUAAGCUACUAAUUAACUUUAUAAUUGCAGUUAACAUGGUCCGAGUUCGAGUCGCACUUUGUUUUUUUGUGACGAAUUCACUUCUUUGACAUAACCGUGUUCCUGCCAGAGAGCUAAACUACUGAUUAGAAAGCCAGGAUCAAGGUUCUGAAUCUGGAUAUGCUGAGUUUAUUGACUUAUUUGAAAAUCGUGUAAACUUGGGACUGUUGCUGGUAUGAACUCACAACUGGUUCUGUGACAAUUUCUUUCUGUAUUUUUCCUGAACAUGUUGAGAGAUUUAUCAAGUUAUAUAACAUUGACUGGUAUUUAUAUUAAUGAUAAUUUUGGUACCUACAAUGGAGAACAACAUAUGCAUACGAUUUUAAAGAUUAAAAACGGCCCCAUCA